UUCAAGAAGAAGCUUAGACCUGAUGGUACGAUUGGAAAGUACAAGGCACGGCUUGUGGCCAAGGGUUAUACCCAGAAAGAAGGUGAAGACUUCUUUGAUACUUACUCACCCGUGGCUAGACUGACCACAAUUCGGGUGCUACUAUCACUGGCUGCCUCACAUGGUCUUCUCGUUCAUCAAAUGGACGUUAAGACGACUUUCCUCAAUGGAGAGUUGAAGGAGGAAAUUUACAUGGAUCAGCCAGAUGGUUUUGUAGUACCUGGUCAGGAAGGAAAGGUGUGCAAGUUAUUAAAGUCUUUAUAUGGCCUUAAACAAGCUCCUAAGGAGUUCCAUGAGAAGUUCGAAAGAACAUUAACUGCUGCCGGCUUUGUAGUAAACGAUGGUGACAAGUGCGUGUACUAUCGCUAUGGUGGGGGCGAAGGAGUUAUUCUUUGUCUGUAUGUCGACGACAUAUUGAUCUUUGGAACCAAACUUGAUUUAAUCAAGGAGGUUAAGGAUUUCUUAUCUCGCUGUUUUGAGAUGAAGGAUCUAGGAGUAGCUGAUGUUAUCUUAAACAUCAAGCUGUUGAGAGAUGAGAAUGGUGGGAACACACUGCUUCAGUCUCAUUAUGUGGAAAAGAUUAAGGCCACAAGUGAUUAUGUUUUUACACUUGGUGGUGGUGCUGUUUCCUGGAAGUCUUGCAAGCAGACCAUCUUAACGAGGUCAACUAUGGAAGCAGAACUCACAGCAUUAGACACUACCACUGUUGAAGCAGAGUGGCUUCGUGAACUCUUGAUGGACUUACCUAUGGUUGAAAAACCAAUACCCCCUAUCCUGAUGAACUAUGAUAAUCAAACUGUGAUCGUUAAGAUAAACAGUUCUAAGGACAAUAUGAAGUCCUCAAGGCAUGUGAAGAGGAGACUAAAAUCUGUCAGAAAAUUGAGGAACUCCGGAGUUAUUACGUUGGAUUAUAUCCAAACGUCGAAAAACAUGGCAGAUCCCUUCACAAAGGGUCUAUCACGUAAUGUGAUAGAUAAUGCAUCGAUGGAGAUGGGUUUGAGACCCACC
Molecule: ribosomal RNA, 1047 nt
Filed under: Triticum aestivum (bread wheat)
Lineage: Eukaryota; Viridiplantae; Streptophyta; Magnoliopsida; Poales; Poaceae
Description: partial small subunit ribosomal RNA
Source: RNAcentral